Molecule: long non-coding RNA, 266 nt
Organism: Cuculus canorus (common cuckoo)
Lineage: Eukaryota; Metazoa; Chordata; Aves; Cuculiformes; Cuculidae
Exons: 4
Source: RefSeq, a predicted model, not a curated record
AGGUUCAGCAGGCAGCCUCGGAGGGGCACAGCUUUGUGCCGACAAAUGAUCUGGGAAGCCGAGCCUUUGUUUUUUGCAGGUGCCGAUCGGGCCGCCUCUGGAACAGGACGAGCGUCUGAGGUGCCCCGGGCAACGACAGCUGCAGGGCCUGAUGUUUGAGCGCGCACGGAGCAAAUGAAGAAGAGGAACCUGGUGACUGCAGGAUUGUUCCAGUUAACCAAUGUGGUUGGAGCUGCUUUGUCGAAGGACGGCUUCAGUCAUGGUCC